ACAAGGUCUCCGUUGGUGAACCAGCGGAGGGAUCAUUAAAGAGUUUACACAACUCCUAAACCCAUGUGAACUUACCUUUUGUUGCCUCGGCAGGUCGCGUCUACCCUGUGAGACCCUACCCUGUAGGUUCUUACCCGGUGGACGCGGGCUCCCCUGCCGGCGGCCCAUUAAAUUCUGUUUAUCAUAUUAUUUCUGAAUCUAUAACUCAAUAAGUUAAAACUUUCAACAACGGAUCUCUUGGUUCUGGCAUCGAUGAAGAACGCAGCGAAAUGCGAUAAGUAAUGUGAAUUGCAGAAUUCAGUGAAUCAUCGAAUCUUUGAACGCACAUUGCGCCCAUUAGUAUUCUAGUGGGCAUGCCUGUUCGAGCGUCAUUUCAACCCUUAAGCCUCUGUUGCUUAGUGUUGGGAGCCUACAGCCCUCUGUAGCUCCCCAAAGUUAGUGGCGGAGUCGGUUCACACUCUAGACGUAGUAAAUUUUUAUCUCGCCUAUAGAUGAGCCGGCGCCUUGCCGUAAAACCCCUAAUCUUUUACAAGGUUGACCUCGGAUCAGGUAGGAAUACCCGCUGAACUUAAGCAUAU
This 578-nucleotide ribosomal RNA is filed under the name Xylaria sp. MH-2012. RNAcentral's name for it is "eukaryotic LSU rRNA". The stretch from base 218 to 371 matches the Rfam family "5.8S ribosomal RNA". The record is from RNAcentral. Lineage: Eukaryota; Fungi; Ascomycota; Sordariomycetes; Xylariales; Xylariaceae.